Molecule: long non-coding RNA, 3270 nt
Filed under: Lathyrus oleraceus (garden pea)
Lineage: Eukaryota; Viridiplantae; Streptophyta; Magnoliopsida; Fabales; Fabaceae
Description: Pisum sativum (pea) long non-coding RNA (PSAT_LNC019305)
Source: RNAcentral
UAUAGUUAUAAUAUCAUUUUCUAUUUUUUUUUAAAAUUAAACCAUACAACCGAUAUUAAAGAAAAUGACAAUACACAAUAAAGUCGAAAUAAGUCAAAAUAAAAUACAACUGAGAAUAAAUUCAGAGUACAAAUACUAUAAACUAUUGUGCAUGACGGAUUCAGGCCCCCCUGUUCAUAUGUUGCUUCAUGUACUAAAGUGCCUCACAUGCCUUCGUCAUCAUGACAUCUAUAACGUCCCUAGCCUCAGAGCCAUCCAGAAAGAGACUCCUGUCAAUACCCGUCUGUCCAAUCUCCAUGAUAUGGCGACAUAUAAGCAACAUAAUGACAUGAUUUAUCAUAUCAUGCUCCUCCUAUAGUAUUUUCUAAUGAGCUUGCAUAGGUAGAUCUCCCAGGAGCAUCAUGUAUCAUAUAAGGAUGUGACAUCCUGAAGAACCACCAAAUGUAACUGUCUACAUAGCUCCAAUCACUAGGAGUUAUGGUACUUUGUGCCUUCUCUAGUAUCAGAAGAUUAAGAUAAUGAUCAAACAUAAAAUUCACAUCUCUACGUGUCAUAACGGGAGGAGCAAACACAAAAAGUCUAUAGGAUUAAACUACAUGUAGCUGAACUGCCACAUGAUGUGCUCAGGCAGAUGAGGAUACGCCAAAUGUGAACCGCAAGUCAACCAUCCAGAGUAGAAGGCAAUGUCCUCCAAGGGACACGUCUCACGGUGAGUGACGUAAGAAUGAAAGUGUAUGUCUUCUGCUACCAAACAGUCGAGAUACACUUGGUAUGACUCCAUCCCUGGGGUGCCUAGGGUGCCUUGGACACCUCUGAUGACUCGGGUACCUCUGGUUCCUGAAUAGGUGAAAUGUGUCUCCUACAAGAAGACGGAGGUAGAGAUGCAUGAGUAGGUUACACACGUCUCCUACGAGAAGAAGAAGACGGAGAUUAAUGAGCCCUAGAAGCUGACGCAUUCGCAUCAACUAGGCUAGAAAUAACAGGUGUCUGAGAUGGUUGAGUCUUUUCCCUCCGAACCAAUGCAUAUUAUGCAAUCAUGCAGUGCCUAAAUAUGUCUUGCAUAUCAGUCAUAACGCCUAUAAGUAAACCACACAAGCGUUAUACAUAUGAAACACAAUGAUUUCAAGCAAAAAAUGUCAAAAAAUCCAGACUGAUAAAUUCUGGAGUUGCAUGUCCGAUUUCUGGGAAUCAAAAUAUAAUUUUUUUUUGGAGAUGCAUCUCCGAAAUUUUCUACAAAACAGAAUAACGUCAAUGGCAGACAUGCAGUCCCUCAAAACAUCCAAAAUAGUGCAUUGAUCAAUAAAAUAACCUACCAAACAUGUUUCACAUUUACAUAACAUGUAUAAACUACCUAUUACAUAACCUAAUCCUCAAUUUCUACAAAUAUAUAUAGAAAAUAAAAAAAAAGUUUAUAAAAAUAAAAAAUUUACAAAUUGUUAGUUGAGUGAGCUCUUUUAUCGAUUUGAUGUUGAUGGAAGAAGUUUUGAAGUCGGUUGAAUAAAUUUGAGAGAAUAUGAGUUGAGAGAGUUUGAAAAACUUGAGAGGUUUAAAGAGUAUUUUUUUAAAAGUGAGGAAGGGGAAAUGGUUCUGACGCAUUUUUGAUUAAAUAGUGUCUGAAAAUGAAUCUCCGUAAAUUAUACAAAAAUGCAUUUCUGUAAAUUUUUUACAUAGUCUUAGGGACCUGAUUCAAAAACGUAUUGAAUUGGAAUGCAUUUGGAGUUUCAUAUCUAAAAUCUAAGAGUAUUAUUGAAAUUUCAUGAAAACGUGGUAGCACUCCAUAGAAUUUGUUAAAUAUUUCCCUUAAAAAAAGUUAUUGUUAACCCAAAAACAACAUGAUGGUAGUUAAUACAAACUUUCAAGUCUCAAGGGGUCACAAACUCGCUUUCAAACCCUUGUGCUCAACCACUUUAAGGACCACAAACAAGUUGCCUUAGAGGAUUAAAUCAAAAUAAUAGAAUCAAUCAUGUUAUAUGGUAUUUAUCCAAAUUGAUUUGAUCCCAUUCAUGUCCUAAAAGCUCAAAAUGAAGUAUGAUAAUAACUAUUCAUGAAAUAUGUUAGUCCAAUCAGUAUGUGGGCAUAAACCAAACAUCCCACAAUAGUUUGUGUGGCCAUUGUGUCAUUUAUUAUUUUGGUUGAUGUAAAAUCAAAAUUAUUAAUUUGAUAAAGUGGGGUUUAUUUGUACUCAGCUGGAGAGACCUAUGCACACUCUUUGUCUAGUUUUAGUAUAUAUGUUUCUACAUAUAUUCUAUGGUCUCUAUUUUGAUGAAGGGGUCUCUUUUGGGUCGUUUGAUAUUGACAUCCACAAAAGAGAUCUUAUCUAAUAUUAAUAUAAAAAAAAAACAAAUCUGCGCCAUUACAAGCCUAAAAGACCCUAAAUAAUUUUGAAUACUAAAAAAGUUAACAAGAUAUUAGUGACCUUUCACCUACUAUAGUGAGACUGGAUUUACAAAUUAGACAUAAGAUGUACUUGCAAGAAGCUGUAUUAUUUUCUUCCUACCAUUUGGAUUAAUCUACACCAUUUAAAAACUGAUCCAACUUUUAAUCAUGCUAACGUUAAUUCAUGAAAUAAUUAUUAUAAGAAAAGUUGUAUGAUGGUAUUAUGUAGGGUUUGUUCUUUUGUUAUAGUGAUAUUCCACUUGAUUACCACCCACGUGGUAAGGCAUCACUUAUUAAGAGCAAGUGAUAGAAACUCUUUGAAAAGGAGUUUCACUUCAACUGCAACAAACAACUAAGGCAACCAUGGCGAGUAAUUUAUACAACAUUAUCUAUGUCGUGCCUUACCUUGCACGCUAUUUAAAUUAGACAGAAAACACGGACCUUAAUCCAAUUGCUUUCUACUACUUGGCUAUAGAACACAACACUACUCACACAUUUGGGAAAUAUACCUGUUAUGUGUCGGUAUGCCUGACAGAUCAUCAGAAAGGAAUCACACUCUUUUCAGAACUUCUCCACCCACGAGAAUAAUGAUCGUGAUGAUUAUAAAGGAUCUCAAUUGCAAACGUAUCAAACGGUUCUCCGUAAUGCAUUCCUAAAAAUAGCAAGUUUGUCAUUUAUUUCUCUAUUAUAUUUAGAGAUGACGUCAUUGUUUCAUACGGGAAUCAAGAUUGUUAUAGAAUUUUGAUUUGGUUGUGCAAAUCUCAGGCGUGGUUGUGUGGGAAUCAAGAUUGUUAUAGAAUUUUGAUUUGGUUGUGCAAAUCUCAGGUGCGGUUGUGUGGGAGUACAUCUGCAAGUUUAACAUGCUGUCUUCGAAGUUAAUAAAUGAAUGAAAAG